UACGUAGGUGGCGAGCGUUGUCCGGAUUUACUGGGCGUAAAGGGAGCGUAGGCGGACUUUUAAGUGAGAUGUGAAAUACUCGGGCUCAGCUUGAGUGCUGCACUUCAAACUGGAAGUCUAGAGUGCAGGAGAGGAGAAUGGAAUUCCUAGUGUAGCGGUGAAAUGCGUAGAGAUUAGGAAGAACACCAGUGGCGAAGGCGAUUCUCUGGACUGUAACUGACGCUGAGGCUCGAAAGCGUGGGGAGCAAACAGG
This 253-nucleotide ribosomal RNA is filed under the name uncultured bacterium. RNAcentral describes it as "partial 16S ribosomal RNA". It matches the Rfam family "Bacterial small subunit ribosomal RNA", at positions 524 to 776 of the family's 1533-position model. The record is from RNAcentral.